GACGAACGCUGGCGGCGUGCUUAACACAUGCAAGUCGAACGAGUGGCGGACGGGAGAGUAAUGCGUGGGAAUCUCGCUUAUGGAGGGGGUUACCUAUGGGAACCUGUAGCAAAUCCCGCGUACCAUAGGAUGAGCCCAAGUGACAUUAGGUAGUUGGUGAGUUAAAGGCUCACCACGCCGACGAGCGCUAGCUGGUCUGAGAGGAUGACAGGCAACACUGGAACUUAGACACGGCCCAGACUCCUACGGGAGGCAGCAGUGGGGAAUAUUGCGCAAUGGGGGCAACCUGACGCAGCCAUGCCGCGUGAAUGAAGAAGGCCUUCGGGUUGUAAAGUUCUUUCGGUAGCGAAGCGUUAACUACAGAAGAAGCACCGGCUAACUCCGUGCCAGCAGCCGCGGUAAUUC
Molecule: ribosomal RNA, 405 nt
Filed under: uncultured bacterium
Lineage: Bacteria
Description: partial 16S ribosomal RNA
Rfam family: Bacterial small subunit ribosomal RNA
Source: RNAcentral